Molecule: unclassified non-coding RNA, 346 nt
Filed under: soil metagenome
Description: partial contains 5.8S ribosomal RNA, internal transcribed spacer 2, and large subunit ribosomal RNA
Rfam family: 5.8S ribosomal RNA (bases 1-120)
Source: RNAcentral
GAUGAAGAACGUAUCAAAAUGCGAUAAGUAAUGUGAAUUGCAGAAUUCAGUGAAUCAUCGAAUCUUUGAACGCACAUUGCGCCCGCUGGUAUUCCGGCGGGCAUGCCUGUUCGAGCGUCAUUUCAACCCUCAAGCCCCCGGGUUUGGUGUUGGGGAUCGGCUCUGCCUUCUGGCGGUGCCGCCCCCGAAAUACAUUGGCGGUCUCGCUGCAGCCUCCAUUGCGUAGUAGCUAACACCUCGCAACUGGAACGCGGCGCGGCCAUGCCGUAAAACCCCAACUUCUGAAUGUUGACCUCGGAUCAGGUAGGAAUACCCGCUGAACUUAAGCAUAUCAAUAAGCGGAGGA